UUUGCCGAGUUGAAAAGCAAGUGAUGCA
RNAcentral lists this non-coding RNA (28 nucleotides) under Homo sapiens (human). Lineage: Eukaryota; Metazoa; Chordata; Mammalia; Primates; Hominidae. The record is from RNAcentral.